This 95-nucleotide small RNA is filed under the name Salmonella enterica subsp. salamae. RNAcentral describes it as "partial RtT sRNA". It matches the Rfam family "RtT RNA", at positions 51 to 130 of the family's 130-position model. From Rfam's summary of the family: This family represents a bacterial cis-regulatory element known as RtT RNA. The exact function of RtT is unknown although it is thought that it may be involved in changing the cellular response in relation to amino acid starvation. Lineage: Bacteria; Pseudomonadati; Pseudomonadota; Gammaproteobacteria; Enterobacterales; Enterobacteriaceae. The record is from RNAcentral.
AACGGUGGAUACUGGUAGAGAACGUGAAGGAUAACGUUGCGUCAGCAACGGCCCGUAGGGCGAGGCGAAGCCGAGUCAUCCUGCACGACCCACCA